UACAGAGGGUGCGAGCGUUAAUCGGAAUUACUGGGCGUAAAGCGUGCGUAGACGGUAGCGUAAGUCAGAUGUGAAAGCCCCGGGCUCAACCUGGGAAUUGCAUUUGAGACUGCUCUGCUCGGGUGCGGAAGAGGGAAGCGGAAUUUCCGGUGUAGCGGUGAAGUGCGUAGAUAUCGGAAGGAACACCAGUGGCGAAAGCGGCUUCCUGGUCCGACACCGACGGUCAGGCACGAAAGCGUGGGGAGCAAACAGG
RNAcentral lists this ribosomal RNA (253 nucleotides) under uncultured bacterium. RNAcentral's name for it is "partial 16S ribosomal RNA". It matches the Rfam family "Bacterial small subunit ribosomal RNA", at positions 524 to 776 of the family's 1533-position model. The record is from RNAcentral.